Molecule: ribosomal RNA, 394 nt
Filed under: uncultured bacterium
Lineage: Bacteria
Description: bacterial SSU rRNA
Rfam family: Bacterial small subunit ribosomal RNA
Source: RNAcentral
GACGAACGCUGGCGGCGUGCUUAACACAUGCAAGUGGAGCGACGAACCAGGCUUCGGCCUGGGGCAGAGCCGCGAACGGGUGAGUAACACGUGGGUAACCUGCCCCGAUGACUGGGACAACCCGAGGAAACUCGGGCUAAUACCGGAUGUGCUGCUCUCGCUCAAGUGAGAGUAGGAAAGGAAGCUUCGGCCUCCGCAUCGGGAUGGGCCCGCGGCCCAUUAGCUGUUGGUGAGGUAACGGCUCACCAAGGCUUCGAUGGGUAGCUGGUCUGAGAGGACGAUCAGCCACACUGGGACUGAGACACGGCCCAGACUCCUACGGGAGGCAGCAGUGGGGAAUAUUGCGCAAUGGGCGAAAGCCUGACGCAGCGACGCCGCGUGUGGGAUGACGGCC